Molecule: ribosomal RNA, 1550 nt
Filed under: Neisseria zalophi
Lineage: Bacteria; Pseudomonadati; Pseudomonadota; Betaproteobacteria; Neisseriales; Neisseriaceae
Description: 16S ribosomal RNA
Rfam family: Bacterial small subunit ribosomal RNA
Source: RNAcentral
AACGCUGGCGGCAUGCUUUACACAUGCAAGUCGAACGGCAGCACGGAAGAGCUUGCUCUUUUGGUGGCGAGUGGCGAACGGGUGAGUAAUGCAUCGGAACGUACCGAGUAGUGGGGGAUAACUGUCCGAAAGGAUGGCUAAUACCGCAUACGCUUUGAGAAGGAAAGCGGGGGCUCUUAGGACCUCGCGCUAUUCGAGCGGCCGAUGUCUGAUUAGCUAGUUGGUGGGGUAAGAGCCUACCAAGGCGACGAUCAGUAGCGGGUCUGAGAGGAUGAUCCGCCACACUGGGACUGAGACACGGCCCAGACUCCUACGGGAGGCAGCAGUGGGGAAUUUUGGACAAUGGGGGCAACCCUGAUCCAGCCAUGCCGCGUGUCUGAAGAAGGCCUUCGGGUUGUAAAGGACUUUUGUCAGGGAAGAAAGGGUUUGUGCUAAUACCACGAACAUAUGACGGUACCUGAAGAAUAAGCACCGGCUAACUACGUGCCAGCAGCCGCGGUAAUACGUAGGGUGCGAGCGUUAAUCGGAAUUACUGGGCGUAAAGCGGGCGCAGACGGUUACUUAAGUCAGAUGUGAAAUCCCCGGGCUCAACCUGGGAACUGCGUUUGAAACUGGGUAGCUAGAGUAUGUCAGAGGGGGGUAGAAUUCCACGUGUAGCAGUGAAAUGCGUAGAGAUGUGGAGGAAUACCGAUGGCGAAGGCAGCCCCCUGGGAUAAUACUGACGUUCAUGCCCGAAAGCGUGGGUAGCAAACAGGAUUAGAUACCCUGGUAGUCCACGCCCUAAACGAUGUCAAUUAGCUGUUGGGGCACUUGAUGCCUUAGUAGCGUAGCUAACGCGUGAAAUUGACCGCCUGGGGAGUACGGUCGCAAGAUUAAAACUCAAAGGAAUUGACGGGGACCCGCACAAGCGGUGGAUGAUGUGGAUUAAUUCGAUGCAACGCGAAGAACCUUACCUGGUCUUGACAUGUACGGAAUCCUCCAGAGACGGAGGAGUGCCUUCGGGAGCCGUAACACAGGUGCUGCAUGGCUGUCGUCAGCUCGUGUCGUGAGAUGUUGGGUUAAGUCCCGCAACGAGCGCAACCCUUGUCAUUAGUUGCCAUCAUUAAGUUGGGCACUCUAAUGAGACUGCCGGUGACAAGCCGGAGGAAGGUGGGGAUGACGUCAAGUCCUCAUGGCCCUUAUGACCAGGGCUUCACACGUCAUACAAUGGUCGGUACAGAGGGUAGCCAAGCCGCGAGGUGGAGCCAAUCUCAUAAAACCGAUCGUAGUCCGGAUUGCACUCUGCAACUCGAGUGCAUGAAGUCGGAAUCGCUAGUAAUCGCAGGUCAGCAUACUGCGGUGAAUACGUUCCCGGGUCUUGUACACACCGCCCGUCACACCAUGGGAGUGGGGGAUACCAGAAGUAGGUAGGGUAACCGCAAGGAGCCCGCUUACCACGGUAUGCUUCAUGACUGGGGUGAAGUCGUAACAAGGUAGCCGUAGGGGAACCUGCGGCUGGAUCACCUCCUUUCUAGAGAAAAGAAGAGGUUGUUGGGUACUCACACUUAUCG